GGCUCCGGGCGCCGGUCGCCGGCGGGGCGCGCAAGCGCGUCCGCCGGAGGAAAGUCCGGACUCCGCAGGGCAGGGCGUCCGCGCCGGGAGGUGCGGAAUCCCUCUGGCAAACGGAGGGAAAGGAAAGUGCCACAGAAACCAAACCGCCCGGACGGCUUCGGCUCGUCCGGGUAAGGGUGAAACGGCGGUGUAAGAGACCACCGUGCGGAGGCCGAGAGGCGCCGCGCAAGGCAAACCCCGCCCGGAGCAAGAUCAAAUAGGGAAUCGCAGGGGCGGCCCGUCCCGAUGCGCGGCGACGCGCGGCGAUUCCGGGUUGAUCGCUCAGACAAAUGACCGGGCCCGCGCAAGCGGGCGACAGAAUCCGGCUUAUUCGCCCGGGGUCCCGA
Molecule: RNase P RNA, 386 nt
Filed under: Spartobacteria bacterium
Lineage: Bacteria; Pseudomonadati; Verrucomicrobiota; Spartobacteria
Description: RNase P RNA component class A
Rfam family: Bacterial RNase P class A
About the family: Ribonuclease P (RNase P) is a ubiquitous endoribonuclease, found in archaea, bacteria and eukarya as well as chloroplasts and mitochondria.
Source: RNAcentral